ACAACAUGGACCUCGUGUUUUGAUUUAUACCCAUAAAUUAUUAUCAAGAAUAAUUUAUUAUGUUUUUCAAAAAUCAGGGAUGUGUAGGGUAGAGCAUUUCAUACCUAACGGGUCCCAUCAGCUGAUCAUCACCAUGCUGAGUGGGUCUCACUCAAGCAGAGAAGUAAGUGUCUGUGUGUCCUAACUGCAGAAUGCGUGCAGUUUCCCUUAACCUCUUCGCGAUAACAAAGUAGCUCACGCGCCCCUGUAGUGCGUACGGGGAUCCAUUCUGUUUCACAGUGUUAACACUUCACGUUAUACACACGGGCUUAACGUGUAGACGUCAUUUUACCUUUGUGGUUUUCCACGUGUCAGUAUUUUUCCGUUUUUUAGUUACAGAACACUGGAUUUGCUUCUUCAUUUGUGUGCAGAAUUCCCUUGUAAAUAUUCCUCUGUAAGAUGCCAUCUCCUGCAUUCCAGUGAAUUUCCCUGAGAUAUUUCCCACAGCAAGUUUUUUCGGUGGUAGGGGUUUAUCUAGUUGUCUUACCUUUGAAAAGCUGCAGUGCCAUUGCUGUUGUAUUCAUAAAUUCCCUACAGAACUUCUCAAAUUAGAUUUUCUUUUUUUUAACUGAGUGGAAUGGACUGGUGAAUUUAAUUGUCCAUGUGUGCAGUUGUUCAUGGAGCCUUUCGUUUUGCAAGUAUCGGCUUUCUCUUUGUUUUCCUUCUUUGUCUGAUUCAGUAGAGACUGAGUGCUGAUUGCAGAGACUCAGACAUGACUUUUGUGGAGUUUGGUGGUGGUGAGGUUUUCAGGCGUAUUUGUCAUCAGCCCAGAGGCAGUUUUGUUGCCA
Molecule: long non-coding RNA, 827 nt
Filed under: Bos taurus (domestic cattle)
Lineage: Eukaryota; Metazoa; Chordata; Mammalia; Artiodactyla; Bovidae
Description: long non-coding RNA NONBTAT020402
Source: RNAcentral